Molecule: long non-coding RNA, 2008 nt
Organism: Papaver somniferum (opium poppy)
Lineage: Eukaryota; Viridiplantae; Streptophyta; Magnoliopsida; Ranunculales; Papaveraceae
Exons: 2
Source: RefSeq, a predicted model, not a curated record
UUCUAAUCUUCAAGCUCUGCAAAAAUGGCGAUUGAGUGAAGAAUGAGAGAUCUCGAGUGAGUUUUAUCAUCAACAGUGAGGGUUUUGUUCACACAGUUCGUGUUACGGUUUGAUUUGAUGCUUACUGAAACUGAGAAAGAGAUGGAGAUACUGAUUGAAGUCAGAUUGAGAAGAUGAUGUGAGUAAGGAAGGGAUGAAUAGUCUGAUUGUGGAUGAACUAUAGUGGUGUUUUUGUGAAGAUUUUCGAGCAAAUCAGGUACAUUUUUGUUGAAUAUUAGGUAUGUUUUGAUUAACUGUAGUGGUCGUUUAACAAUUUUAGAGAUUUUUCUCAUAAACCCUAAUUAGGGAAAAUUGGGUAUUUUGUAUUUUAUCUGAUGAUGUCUGUCGAUUGGAGUUGACGGUAUUUAUGGGUAUUUGAGGAGAGUUUAGACAUGAAUUUAAUACAGCUGAAGGUGAAGCAACAUUCGUGGAUUCUGGAUAGGUCUUGAUGGAAUUGAUUUGAAGUUGUUGUUGGUAAUUGAAAGAAAACAAAAGAUGAACUGAAGUACUGUAGCUGGUAGUGUUACUGUGUUUGGAGGUGGUGAUGUUCUUUGAGCUUUUGAAGUAUGCUAGUGAUGAAAAGAGCAGGUGUUGGUGGUUGGAGUUGUGAGAAAUUCAGAUGGUGCUAUUGAGUCUGUUGAAUUCAGGGACAAACAUGGUUGUUGUGUGGUGUUUGAUACAGAAACUGAGAUGGUGGUGUUCUGUAGGUGCAAUUGCAGGAGAUGGAGUUGAGGUGUGGAUUGAUGUGAUAAAUGGAAGAGAUAAAUGACUGCAAUAGAUGAAUUAGCAUGAAGACUAAACGUAUGCUUAGGAUUUGGAUCUGUAAACUGAUGGGUUGGAGGUAUUGAAUUGCAACUGUACAGUUGAAAUGACUUGAUUGAAUUGCAGGAGAUGUGCUUAAGAUGAACCAGGUAAUGAUGUUGGUGAGUUCAUACAAGGUGAUUAUUUUCUGUGGAUGUGUGUGUAUGUCCUGAGAUGCAGAUGAGUUGAGAGGGUGGUACAGUGGUGGCUAUGAGCUGAGAAGUAGGGUUCUGAUAGGAGAUUGUAUUCUGCAGCUGUAAAAGAUGAAUUCUAGUGGUGAAUAAGAAUAUGGUUUGAAUUGAGAAGAUGGGUUGCAUCUGCAACUCAGUUUUGGAGACAACCAGUGAUGAAUAAUGGGUAGUGUGGUGUGCUGUAUCUGGUGGAUUCUACUGCGAAUGGAGCGGUAGAUUAUGGAGCUUCUGAAAUGCAUUGGCUAGGGUUGCAGUUGAGAAUUGAGAUUGUGUUGUGUGCAGUGUGGAAAGAAGCAAUUGCAGGUAAUAUUCAAGAAUGAGAAAUUGAGUUAUGGAAGAGUGAAGGAAACUGAAUUACUGUGUGGACUGAGCUGAACUGAAGUUGAUGGUUGAACUGAGUGCAGUCACGCCACGACAUUGCAGGUGGUCUGGAACUGAGAUUGGUAAGGGUUCAGCUGGUGCUAGUUGUGUUGUUGAGAAGUUGUUGUUGCAGAGAUGAAGUGAAUGGUGAUGGGAAGUUUGGAUGAAAGAAUGGGUUGUGCAGUUUUAGAUGGCUCAAAUGUGUGAUUUGAGAAUGUGCAGGACUAAAACUGCAAAGAAGAAGAUGAUGGAGCUAAAAAGUUUGUGGUUUACUGAUAGAUGGAAGGGAUAUAGAGAAGCAGAGUUGCAUUACAGGGAAGUUGCAGGAUGAACGCAAAUGGCUCGUUCCUUGGCAGUUAUACUAGUCAGCCUGAGCUAGUCUGCUAGGUUUUGGUUACAAAAAAUUUGCCACGUCACCGUGCCACCGCGUCAGCGAGAUGCCACCACGUCAGCAACGGGUUAACUGUGGUUAACGUUUGCUUGACUUAAGAGCGAGGGCAUUUUGGAAAUCUGUUAUGUCGGAUGAAGUAGGAUCAUUUUGUAACCAAUUUACAAAAGUAUGAUCACUUUGUAACUGAAUUACAAAAAGUAUGACCAUUUUGCAAAUAGCCCUAAAA